RNAcentral lists this ribosomal RNA (253 nucleotides) under uncultured bacterium. RNAcentral's name for it is "partial 16S ribosomal RNA". It matches the Rfam family "Bacterial small subunit ribosomal RNA", at positions 524 to 776 of the family's 1533-position model. The record is from RNAcentral.
UACGGAGGGUGCGAGCGUUAAUCGGAAUUACUGGGCGUAAAGCGUGCGUAGGCGGCUCGUUAAGUCAGAUGUGAAAGCCCCGGGCUUAACCUGGGAACUGCAUUUGAUACUGGCGAGCUAGAGUUUAAUAGAGGGGAGUGGAAUUUCCGGUGUAGCGGUGAAAUGCGUAGAGAUCGGAAGGAACACCAGUGGCGAAGGCGACUCCCUGGAUUAAAACUGACGCUGAGGUACGAAAGCGUGGGUAGCAAACAGG